GCCAGUGUGGUGUAGUGGUUUUCAAUAUUGGACUAAGAGUCCUGGAGGCCAGGGUUUGAAUCCCCGCUCAGCCA
Phrynosoma platyrhinos (Desert horned lizard) is the source of this 74-nucleotide non-coding RNA. Lineage: Eukaryota; Metazoa; Chordata; Lepidosauria; Squamata; Phrynosomatidae. The record is from the annotation of a GenBank genome assembly.